This 247-nucleotide ribosomal RNA is filed under the name uncultured bacterium. RNAcentral describes it as "partial 16S ribosomal RNA". It matches the Rfam family "Bacterial small subunit ribosomal RNA", at positions 84 to 334 of the family's 1533-position model. The record is from RNAcentral.
GAUGCUGACGAGUGGCGAACGGGUGAGUAAUACAUCGGAACGUGCCCGAUCGUGGGGGAUAACGAGGCGAAAGCUUUGCUAAUACCGCAUACGAUCUACGGAUGAAAGCGGGGGAUCUUCGGACCUCGCGCGGACGGAGCGGCCGAUGGCAGAUUAGGUAGUUGGUGGGAUAAAAGCUUACCAAGCCGACGAUCUGUAGCUGGUCUGAGAGGAUGAUCAGCCACACUGGGACUGAGACACGGCCCAG